UGUACCACCUUGUCGGGUAGCUUAUCAGACUGAUGUUGACUGUUGAAUCUCAUGGCAACAGCAGUCGAUGGGCUGUCUGACAUUUUGGUAUC
Molecule: microRNA precursor, 92 nt
Organism: Vulpes vulpes (red fox)
Lineage: Eukaryota; Metazoa; Chordata; Mammalia; Carnivora; Canidae
Product: microRNA 21
Source: Ensembl